UAUUAAAAUUUGCAUCCAUUUCUACUGUUAAAAACUAACGUAGCUGAUGAAAUAACCAAACAAUUAAAUGUAGCAUGCUACUACUACAUGUACCUCAUGUUGAUAUAUAAUGACCAAUUUUUAAUAGUAGAAAUAGUUGAAAUUUUUAAUA
This 151-nucleotide microRNA precursor is filed under the name Gossypium arboreum. Its description in RNAcentral is "MIR7502 microRNA precursor family". It matches the Rfam family "MIR7502 microRNA precursor family". The record is from Rfam by way of RNAcentral. Lineage: Eukaryota; Viridiplantae; Streptophyta; Magnoliopsida; Malvales; Malvaceae.